RNAcentral lists this long non-coding RNA (232 nucleotides) under Elaeis guineensis (African oil palm). Its description in RNAcentral is "long non-coding RNA (EGUI_LNC002259)". The record is from RNAcentral. Lineage: Eukaryota; Viridiplantae; Streptophyta; Magnoliopsida; Arecales; Arecaceae.
UGGGGAUCUUAUGGUCCCUCGUUGAUCCUCAGAUUGGAAGCCAUGGUUGGUGCAAUUGGGAUUGCUAUGGUGCAAUAUAGAGAAUCUAGACUGGCGGUCGGUGGUGAUCAUUAGCAUCAAAAAAUCAAAAAGAGAGAUAGAACCAAAGAGAAAAAAAUAAGAGAUUUUUCGAGCUUUUUUUUUUUCGAUAAAAUCCCGAUUGUUGGGCUGCCAAAAUCCAUGCUCCUUGGGC